Molecule: ribosomal RNA, 1348 nt
Filed under: uncultured bacterium
Lineage: Bacteria
Description: bacterial SSU rRNA
Rfam family: Bacterial small subunit ribosomal RNA
Source: RNAcentral
GACGAACGCUGGCGGCGCGCUUAACACAUGCAAGUCGAGCGAUGAAAUUUCGACAGAUCCCUUCGGGGUGAAGAUGAAAUGGAUUAGCGGCGGACGGGUGAGUAACACGUGAGUAACCUGCCUUUGACAUUGGGAUAGCCUCGGGAAACUGGGAUUAAUACCAAAUGACACUAACUGAUCACAUGAUCAAUUAGUCAAAGAAAUUCGGUCAAAGAUGGACUCGCGGCUGAUUAGCUAGUUGGUGAGGUAACGGCCCACCAAGGCGACGAUCAGUAGCCGGCCUGAGAGGGUGAUCGGCCACAUUGGAACUGAGACACGGUCCAAACUCCUACGGGAGGCAGCAGUGGGGAAUAUUGCACAAUGGGGGAAACCCUGAUGCAGCGACGCCGCGUGAGCGAAGAAGGCCUUCGGGUCGUAAAGCUCUUUUAUGAGGGAAGAUAAUGACGGUACCUCAAGAAAAAGCCCCGGCUAACUACGUGCCAGCAGCCGCGGUAAUACGUAGGGGGCUAGCGUUGUCCGGAAUCACUGGGCGUAAAGGUUCGCAGGCGGAAUAACAAGUCAGAUGUGAAAGGCAUGGGCUCAACCCAUGUAAGCAUUUGAAACUGUAAUUCUUGAGAAGUGGAGAGGUAAGUGGAAUUCCUAGUGUAGCGGUGAAAUGCGUAGAUAUUAGGAGGAAUACCUGUGGCGAAGGCGACUUACUGGACACAAAUCUGACGCUGAGGAACGAAAGCGUGGGUAGCAAACAGGAUUAGAUACCCUGGUAGUCCACGCCGUAAACGAUGAGUGCUAGGUGUCGGGGGAGACCUCGGUGCCGGCGUUAACACAAUAAGCACUCCGCCUGGGGAGUACGUGCGCAAGCAUGAAACUCAAAGGAAUUGACGGGGACCCGCACAAGCAGCGGAGCAUGUGGUUUAAUUCGACGCAACGCGAAGAACCUUACCAGGGCUUGACAUACUGAGGGCGUACUUAGAGAUAAGUAUUCUCCUUCGGGAGCCUCAAUACAGGUGGUGCAUGGUUGUCGUCAGCUCGUGUCGUGAGAUGUUCAGUUAAGUCUGGCAACGAGCGCAACCCUUACCUUUAGUUACCAGCAUGUAAAGAUGGGGACUCUAAAGGGACUGCCGAUGAUAAAUCGGAGGAAGGUGGGGAUGACGUCAAAUCAUCAUGCCCUAUAUGCCCUGGGCUACACACGUGCUACAAUGGUCGGAACAGAGGGAAGCAACAGAGCGAUCUCAAGCAAAUCUCAUAAAUCCGAUCCCAGUUCGGAUUGCACUCUGCAACUCGAGUGCAUGAAGUCGGAGUUGCUAGUAAUCGCAGAUCAGCAUGCUGCGGUGAAUGCGUUCCCGGGUCU